GGAAAUGGAGACGAGUGAUAUUAAUUUGUAGAUAAAGUUAAUAUUACGUAGUCGCAUAAAGCGGCAUAGUACACAACCCACAACUCUGGAAUUUUAACAUCCAUAUUUAUUCUGUAGCUAUCGUUAUUUUGGCUUCCACUAGCUGGUGAACUUUCCAUGCCAAAACUUCACUUGACGCUGCAAAUGAAACAACAAAAAACACAACAUUAAAUGUUGAGCAAGUAAUAAGCAUAAGCAAUGAAACAACUCAUACGAACCUGUUGCAGUCAGUGCUAGGGCUGAUCUUGUAAGGGAUGUUGACACCGCACUUGCCUGGGAGUCCGCUUGCAAUACCAUAGUUGAUGCCAGAAAUGCCGGCGGCCGCACUUUUGAUGCAUUUGCAAGCUGCUUGCCGGUCUGGUGUUGUUUGGGCGGCGGAGUUGAGAGAUUUUAUGCCGCCGCAGCAACCUGGGGGAACGCCACCAGCACCAUUCCCUGUCAAGUAACCAAUGCAGGGUGCGAGGGAGCUUGUGACUUGACCACAGGUUACGGCCCCUUGAGCCAGGGGUGCACCCACCACCAUGCACAACACCGCCACACAUGCAAGCUUAAGGGACAUUGAGCUAGCCAUAUCGAUUAAUCACAAGAAAAACAAACUUGUAAGGAAAAUGCUUGCUUGGAGUAGUAGUACUAUUGCUGAUUGUCGUGGUUAGGGCUUGAGGGUAGGAGGGUUUUUAUAGCCAAAAGUAGUAGCGGGUGAUGUCUGAAUUUUACUUUCCUAGCUAUUAGGUAAGUUGAGAUUAUCCGAUCCAAACAUUAACACACCACAUUAAAAGUUGAGACCAUUCAAUUAGGUUCAACUGCCAACCUACGUGAUUAUUGUUUUCUUUCAAUACAAUUAAAACCAGCGUCCAUUUGAUUUCACUCAAUCAUGCCUCCACAGCUAGGACUCAAAUAUUGGUUUAACUUUUUUCUAGGUGUUUUCUUAUAAACAUGAGAUUUACAUUUGAUGUAUUUAUAACUGCAUUUAUUGUCAGAAUGAUACCAUUUUAUUAAAAGUAAUUUGAUUUAUAAUUGUUUGUAUAUAUACUUUUAUAUAUUAAGUCUUUAAUUGAAUUGGUAUUACGAUUCACCCAAGCAUCUAUUUAAUUGAAAAUUUGUUAAAAUAUUCAUAUAACAAAUAUUAAUAUAAAUGUAUUUUUAUUUUUAUUAUAAAUAAAACUAUAAUAAGAUUUAAACUUAUGACUCAUAAAUUUUACUCUUUUUAACUUAACUAUUUCAACUAAAAUUUUAUUUAGUUUUAAUAUAAAUUUUUAUAAAUAUAUUAUUUACAUGAAUUUUCCUUUUCCAGGCGGUAUGCCAUGGAACUAAUAUAAAAUAUAAACAAAUGGUUAUUUUGUUAUUUUCAAUGGAAAAAAAAAACUUCACAAGAUUAGGACACAUGCAUGGUUUUUUUAAUAUAUAUAUAUAUAUCAUGCAACAUUCUAAAUCUAUUUAUAGAUUAUUUUGUUGAUUGAAUUUUUAUUUUUUUUUAUUUUGGUAAUUAUAUAAAACUAAAUAUUUUCUUCGCGCAAUGUUAAGAGCAGUUUGAAAUUUAAAAGAAGUGUGGAUUCUAAUAAUAAAUUUAGUUAUCUAAUGUUUACAUAUUUUAUUAAUUUGGCCUUAAAUAUAAAAAUUAAAUUCAACAAAAUUAGCCCUCAAUGUUUACAAAAUUUUUCAUUUUAGUUCAAAUUCUAAAAUAAUCCAAUAAAUUUAGCUCUCAACAUUUAUAAAAUGAAAGGAUUUGAUUUUUAAAAUUUUAAUUUUUUUUUUAAAAACCCAAAACACAAACCUAAAUAAACUGAAAAAGAAGAAGGAAUAAUUAUCAUCACCACGACCUAAUCUCUCAACUUUAAAAUAAGACUUCAACUUCGGUUUAACCCCAAGACAAGGCGAAACAUUGAAAGUAAGUGCAGCGGAUGCCAUUGAUUCUCCUACCUUUUGGCUAAACACAUAAAUUUGAACAACUUCAUACAUAACUAGCAGCAGUACUAAAAAAUCAUUAAUACUAUAUUUUCAAGUACAAGAAAUUGAAAAAAGAAUCACGGGUAGAGUACAAAAAUGAAAUUUGGUGUGAACCUAGAUUAACAAAACAAGGUUCACGGUUUCUCAAAAACACAAUACUAUAUUUUUAGAAUUUCUUGUGAAGAUCAAGCAAUGAGACAAAUACUGAAAUUGUGCCUUAAUAGCAAAUAAUAAUUCAAACCAAUGUAGAAAAAAGAUGAAGAAGAAGAAGAUAGGAAAAGAAUUUUUAGUUUACAUUAAAAGCCUUGAAAAGGUAGACCGAUAGGAUUGAUUGUUUUGAAUAUUACUCAACUUUCUCAUUAAUUCUUGUACUAUUAUGGCUAAGUGUGUUUUUAGAUGGUAAUGAAUUUUUUUAAUUGUUAAUAAUUUUUACAAUUAUUACACUUGAUUUGGCAGUUGUUUUUCUUUUUAAUUUACAAAAUUUUAAAAAAUUAAAAAUUUCUAUUUUGUAAAUGCUAAGAGCUAAAUUUAUUAUUAUUUAUUUUAGAAUCUAAACUAAAGUGACAAAUUUUGUAAAUAUUUGGUGUUAAAUUUAUUGGAUUUUUAUAUUUAAAAUCAAAUUGAUAGAAUGUGUAAAGAAAGUUAAUUUUUUUAUUAGACAAAUAAAAAAUAACCCAUUUCAACACUUCCGAAAAAUUUUCAAACGGCCGUUAACAUUUAGUGACGAAAAUAUUUGAUUUCAUAUAAUUUAAUAAUUAAAAUAAAAAUAAUUAAAAAUUUAGUAAUCAAAGUAAAACACAAGUGAUAUUAUUCUAGUGAUCAUUUCUGUACUUGACCCUAAUUUUUUUUUCAAAACACUGUUAAAAAACGAUUAAUUUCUCGUUUUGGCCGGAGUUAAAAUUUUUAAUAUAUUUGUUUUUAUUAAAUUUAAAAAUUAUAAUUUUACAUAAUAUAUUUUUGAUAGAAUACAUAUGAUAUAAUUUUAAUCAGUGACACCUGUUAAAGCUUGUUAGAUCUCCUGUAUCUCUUUCAAUCUGGUGGUAAAUGAAGCAAUCAAUGAGUAUUACAACCAGCCACAUGUCAUUCAAUUCACAUUAUAUCAAUCUUUUCCCUUUUCUCUCAUUUUGGUAGUUAAUUCCUUUUUUUGUCAUCGAAAUUAUAUUUUUUUCUCAAAUUGAUAAUUUCCUUAAUCCGUUAAGUUUGUUAAAAGAAACCUUAAUCUUAUUUAAAUUAUAUCUUUUUUUAUUUAUUUUGAUACUUAAACAUUUUUGUCACAUGUGGUAUGUAAUUUAUUUUUUCUUAAGUUGUUAGUUUAAUUAUUACUCAAAUAGUUAAGUCUAUUUAAAAAAAGAUAACUAUUUAAAAAUUACCAUAUUCGAACUAGCUAGGCCAUUAGUUCCUGGUUUAAUCAGUUUAUCUAGUUUGAUGAAAUCAAUUAUUAAAAAUUCAUAAAAAUAAAAAUGUUAAAAAAUAGAGAAAACUAGCUCAACUAGUUUUUUUUUUAAGCUCGACUCAAUCAAUCUGUAUUAGUUUGUAGGUUAAUCGGUUCAAGCCCUAUCUCCAAACUAGUAUCCCAGUUGGUUCCUAGUAUUAAGGGUGAGCAAAAUUUGAAUCGACUCGAAAAAAUUUAAAAAAGUUCGAAUUUUGAAUUAUUCGAAUCGAGUUAAUCGAAUCAACUCGAUUUUUUUUUAAUUUCAAGUUCGAGUCGAGUUGAGUUUUUGAAUUCAAAUAACUCGAAUAAUUCGAUUAAGCCGAAUACCAAACUAUAAUAUUUUACAUUUUACCUCAAACCCCAAACCCUUUUACUUUUCCCCCAAAACUUUACUCAUUCCUCCUUGUCUGCCCCUGUAACGCCCCAAAUUUUGAAUUGUUACUGUUAGUUUCUAUUUAUAAGUAAGUAUUUGCUUCAGUGGUUAAGUGUUAUGUGUUGGUGUUUGGAUCGGGGGUUCAAGUUAUACUUUUAGAGAAUUUUAUUAUUCUUUUGUUUCAACUCUUAUCCUUGAAUGUUUGAAUUAAGUUUGUAUCUGCAUUAAUUUGUGUCAAGAACGAGUCUUCUAGUUUAAUGGUUAAGUUUUGUAUUACCUAUGGUCUCGUGUUCGAGUCUCUGCGUAGGCAAUAAAGAAAUAUUUUGGCGUGCUAUCGGGAAAUCAGUUUUAUUUUAAUAAUUAUUUUUAUUUAAAACUUAUUUUUAGUUUUUUUUAUUUUGGUUCUUCUCCUUCCUUACUGUUCAUUUCCUUCUUCUUUUUUCUCCUUUUGUAACACCCCUAACUCGAAUCCGUCGCUGGAACAGGGUUAGGAGUAUUAUCGAAGUUUACAAUUUAAACAGGCAGAAAAAUUAAACAUUUCAUAACAUAUAGCAUUCAUGUUAGAAACCAAUCAUAAUUAUGCAUAUUGUCCCUAAUACGAGCCCUCGAGGCCCAAAAUACACCUUAGAAAUAAUUCGGGACUAAAUUGAAAAUUCGGAGCAUUUUUUAGAAACUUAUAAAAUUUUUAAAACUACAGGGGUCACAUGGCCGUGUGGCUAGGCUGUGUGACUCAUAUGGCCAACAGACACGCCCAUGUCUUAGACCGUGCGGGUAUUCGAAAUAGGGACACACGGUCGUGUCCCAGCCUGUGUCCAUGCCCGUGUAACUCACUAACUUGGGCCACACGGUCAAGCCAUACGCCCGUGUGCCAGGCAUUGUGAGCAUACUAACUUGCAUUCUUUAAAAGAUACAGGGGACACACGGCCAUGUCACCUGACCGUGUGUGACACACGCCCGUGUCUCUGCCCGUGUGGACAAAAAUAGGCUAUUUUUCAAGUCAUAAAUAUUCAUGUAUUCUUUAAAAGAUACAGGGGACACACGCCCGUGUCUCUGCCCGUGUCUCUGCCCAAUUUGGUACCAACCUAAACACAACAAUUUGCAUAUAACCAAGUCAUAAAUAGGCACCCAAAACCAGCCAAAAUCAAGCUUAAAACAUGUAAUAUCAUCACAUACAACCAAUAUGCCCUUAGGCACCUCAAAUGACAACUUAUAAUAUUAAUAUUCAUGUAUUCAAUAUAGCCAAAUGUAUAACUCACUUAUAUGCAUAUUUUCAUCCAAAGUUUAUUAAGCAAAUUUACAUCAUUUCUUACCAAAUUACUUACCUUCCAAAACAUAUUAUUUGGUGCUAAAAUGUAUUUAACAUACUAACAUAUUUAACUUAUAUGCCUUACAUAUCCAGACACCAAUUCAUGAUCAAUUCUUCACAUUUCAAAACACAUAUAUGAAAUGCACAUUAGGUUACCUUUUUACCACUAUUUAUUCAAUCAUGAACCAAACUACAUGUCAACCAUAAUAAGCAAAAUAUGCACAUAUCCAAAAUUCCAUAACACAAACAAAACAAAUGGCUAAUCUCAACAAAACACAUAUAAGCCAACAUUGGCCAAACUAAUCUAUACAUGCCAUUAUAACCGAAAUUAAACAACCGAAUGUACCAAAAGAGCCAAUGGAUAGUGUGAUAUAGCUCCGACAAGCUUCCAACCAGAACGAGCUUUCGAAUCACUAAAAACACAGAAAAUAACACAGAGUAAGCAUUCAAGCUUAGUAAGUUCAUAUAGCAUAUAAUUUAACUUACCAUUUAGUCACAUUUAAGGUAAGCAUACAAAACAUAUCCAAACUCAAUUAGGAUAAAAGCCUCAACACAUAUCCUCAUCAACCAUGUUAGUCAUGUAAUUCAUAUAAAUAUCAAGAAACAUGUAUGAGCUCAACAAUAAUCAAACUUCUAUGUACAUAUAAUUUCCACAUCAUGUAUUUACAUAUCAUGUACAAAUCAUUUUCAUAUAUCUCAUGUAAAUACAUGUAGUAGUUUGUAUUGAACUCGUGUAAUAUCAUAACAGAACAGUGCCCGUUGAACCAUUUAGAUUAUUUUUGGAUACGCGGAUAGUACACAUGAGGUGUACUGAACUGUAAUUCAUCAAUUCAUGUACAUGUAUGCUCAUAUGAGCUAUAAACAGUAAGCUCCUCUGAAAUGAAUAACAAUAAGCUUGUACAAGCUGAAUAUCGGUAAGCUCAUAUGAGCUGAGUAUCGGUAAGCUCAUAAGAGCUGAAAUCGAUAACCCUAAUGACAUGUUUACCAAGCCAUGACAUUCCACUAACACAUUUAACCUUUAAAAUUAUUUCAAUUUACAAGUUUAAGAAAGAACAUAAAAGAUGAUACUUGGCUUUAUUUUACUAAAUUUUGUUAUUUACUUAAUUACUUAUUUAACCUUUAAAAUCAUUUCAAUUUACAAGUUUACUAAGCCAUGACAUUCCACUAACACAUUUAAGGGUUAUUUACCAUAUAAGGACCUCUACUUUAAAUUUUUAUAGCUAUUUAAUACCUUUAGCUAUUAGAACUUUACUUUUACACUUUACGCGAUUUAGUCAUUUUUAUCAAAUUGAACAUGUAAACGGUAAAAUUUCUUAACGAAAUUUUCAUAUGGUAAUAUUAUCAUGUUUUCGACCAUAAAAUAAUAAUAAAAUAAAAUUUUUUACUUCAUAUUUGUGGUCCCAAAACUACUAUUCUGAUUUCACUGAAAAUGGGUUGUUACACCUUUCUUGCUUGAUUGCUUCCGUAAGUUUGCUAUCGUGCUUAAUUGGGCAUUCUGUGUGGUUUCUUACAUUGAUUGCAAGGAUAUUGCGUAAGUUAUGUUCUUGUUUUUUACCUAUUUUUUCUAGACUUCGUCUGUUUCGUCGAGGUUAGAUAUUACUGUUAAUGGUUGUAAAAUCUCGUUAAUAGUUCCAAUGGAUCUUCUUUUAGGAAAAGGUUUCAAAAGUAACAUUUCCCUGUGAGAUUAGGUCCGAAUUGUUGUUGCUUGCUUGUCAGUAAUUGAAAAUUUCUAUUUUGGAUAGCUGCGUCGAAGUUUUCGACGAACGUUAGUUUUGAGUGCUAAUUUUGGCAUUUUGAGUUGAUUUAGUCAUUUAAUUGGUCAAUUAAUUGUCGUUUUAGGUUUCAGAUUCUUGUGUGUUGCUUCUACAUCGAAACUACAUCAAGUGUGUAACGAAAACUCAUUUUUCUAUGAUUUACGAAUGCUAGAAAACAUGGCUGUUAAUCACACGACCGUGUGUUAGGCCAUGUAACUUACUGUUUAUGUAUUAAAGUCACCGAGCCAAGGACGUGGGCAUGUGUCCUAGUCGUGUAACUUACUAUUUGUGGAUUGGAGUCACACAGGCUAGGGACACGUUUGUGUGUCCAGACUGUGUGAAGGAAAUUUUAUGAAUUGAGUCACACAAGCGUGUGCUUGACUAUGUCAUAGACCGUGUAACUCACUUUUUUGAGCCACACGAUCGUGUGCCAGGCCGUGUGAUAGAUCGUGUGCUACACGGGCCAGCCUUCCGGGACAUGUGAAUCCACACAAGUGUGUGGGUCAAAAUUUCAAAUUUUUUAUUAGGGCCGUAAACAUCAUUCCAGUCAAACGUAGGCCUACUGUAGGGUCUGGAUGAUCUGAUUUGGGUUAUAAAACCCAUUGACUAGUUAUCUGUUUCUGUAUAAACUGUUAUUUUAUAUACAUCAUAGAAUUGUAAACUAGAGAGUAGUUGUAUUCUGUAUUAAUUGAGUAUAACCUGAAAUUUGUAACAUCGUAUGCUUAUAUCUGUAUCUGUAACAUUGCAUCUGCAUUGGGGUUGGGAUUGAAUAAGGAGGAAGUUAUGGCAGUUAAAUAAUCUGCUAAGACCGGUGGCUAAGACACGUAAAUGUAUCUAAUUUUGGUGACUUUCGCAUUCUGUCCUAGCAAUUAGUCUGCAACCUUUUGAACGUGACAUAUGGUCACUAUGUGGUGUGUAGGGACGAUACCCUUUUUGGUGUGUAGGGUUGGAUGAAGAUGGUGUGUAAUUGACAUAUUCUACUCUAUUUCCGUAUAUAAUUCUGAGAACUGUUCGAACUUUAAGAAAUUGAAGAUCUAUUUUGUUGUUUCACUUAAUAAUAAUAUAAGUUAUACGCUAUGUAUAACACCCUUUACCCGAGACCGUGGUCGGAGUCGAGCAUGAGGUGUUACUUGACUUAAAUUAAAAGUUCAGGGCAUAAAAAUUUACUUUCAAAAUUAAUUUCACCAUUCACAAUAAAGUUGUCCACCUGAGCAGCAGUCACUAAAUUAAUUAUAACUCAAGCUAAGAAACUCGAAAUUUAGAUUCGUAAAUUUUCCCUGAAACUAGACUCAUAUAUCUAUUCACAAAAUUUUUUUAGAAUUUUUGAUUUGACCAAUUAGUACAGUUUAUUAGUUGAAGUCUCCCCAGUUUCACUAAUCGACUAUCCUGACCUCUCGUCACUAAAAUUCAAUUAUCUCAUUAUACACACUUGGCAUGCUGAUUCCACUUAUUUAUACUUAAAAUAUACUCAUUAAGGAAUUUAAAAAUAUAAUUUAUAACUCAUAAUUCUAUUUGUACAAUUUUUAAUGAAUUUCUAAAGUCAGAACAGGGGACUUCAGAAUCAUUCUGACUCUGUCUCACUAAAAUUAAAAUAUCUAAAAGUAUAUAACUCUUUUACUUACUCUAUUGCUUUCAUGUGAAAGUAGACUCAUUCAGAUUUAAUUUCAUCUCUCGCUAAACUUAUAAUUCUAUUUCUACAAUUUUUGGUGAUUUUUCAAAGUUACAUCAAUGCUGCUGCCCAAAAAUAGUUCCAUUGAAAUUUUUUUAAAAAAAUUCAAUAUAACCCCUUUAUAAUUAUCUAACCUUCCCUGCAAAUUUCAAAUCACAACCAAUUUCAGUAUUUCAACUACUUCACUUAAAUACUAAUGAAGUUCAACUAAUCAACCAUUUCAAACUAAAAACAUGUAUAGUUCAAUGUUUAACACAACCAUCACAUUCAAAUUUAUUCAUUCUAUUACUUUUUACUUCAAUUCCCUAUACAUGUCAUAUAAAUCCAAAAAGUUGUUUAACAAAAUCUACAGGAGUAAAUCUGGAUAGUGUGAUUCUUGGUGUAGAUCUGAUCCUCCGAAUGUAUAAAUACGUCAACCUACAAGAAUCAAUAAACACACAAUUAAGCGUAUAGAAAGCUUAGUAAGUUCAUAGGCACCAAACAUAAAUCUUACCAAACAUUUAUACACUUAUACAUUAUACACCAUUACUAAGUUUACCUGUCAACCACAAUCUUUGGUGAGCUCCUUAGUAUAAACUCACUACUACUUAUUCUUUUACCAUAAUUCCUUUGGGCCCAUUUGUCACUUACCAUCCUUGAUCAAAAUUAAGGAACGGUUACGGAAAAUUGAGUACUUCACUUUCACUUUGCCAUAGUAUAACUAUGGUCUUACGUAUGAUCAAGCAUCACUUGUCCUUGAUAAGAUAAGUGUAGCUAGGCAACCACUUAUCACUUUGUCACUUGAUCAGAUAAGUGUAGCUAAAGCUACCACUUAUCAUUUUAUCACCACUUAUCACUUGUUCUUGAUUAGAUAAGUGUAGCUAAAGUUACCACUUAUCACUUUGUCACCACUUAUCACUUGUUCCUAAUCAGAUAAGUGUAGCUAAAACUACCACUUAUCACUUUGUCACUUGAUCAGAUAAGUGUAGCUAAGCUAUCACUUAUCACUUUGUCACUUGAUCAGAAGUACUCAAAUCCGGUGUUCUACUCAAUUUGAUCAUUUAUUCAGUUUUCACAUUUUUAUUUUAUUCUCAUUUCAUCAAUAAAUAUAUAUAUUUCAUCAUACAUUAUAUAAUUCAUGAAAUUAACAUUUAAUCAUUAAAUUUUAGCCAUAUGAACUUACCUGGGUUGAUUUGCUGAAUUUGUAAAAGUUUAGGGACUAAUCAGCUACUUUUUCUUUUCCUCGACUUGUUUCGGGUUCUCAAUAUGAUUCAAAUAUAUGAAAAACCAACUUGGAGGGACUCUUCAAUGGUGUUUUUUGCUAAAAAAUAUGAGGAAUUGCCUAGAAACACUUUUAGUUAAGAUUUUUAUUUGUUAAUUUUUACAAAAUUUCCAAUUUUGCCCUUAUUACAUCACUUUUUCAAAUUUUUCUUCUCUUAUGUCGUCUCAACUAUUCCAUAUUGGCAUAUUUAUGCCUUAAGUCCCUCCUUAUUUACCACUUAAGCUAUUUAAUCACUUUUAACAAAUUUUACAUUAUUUUCAGUUUAAUCCUUUUUAAUUAAUUAACCACCCAAACGUUAGAAUUUUCUAACGAAAAUUUAAUACCAACUCAAUGACACUCCAUAAAUGUUUCUAAAAAUAUUUAUGGCUCGAUUUAUGAGGUUGAGGUUUCAAUACCUCAUUUUCGAUUCUAAUUAUUUUAAUAUUUAUUCUUAGUACACUAUUCACUAUUUCAAAAAUUUUCCUAACUUCGCAUUUAACUUAUACUCACUAAAUUAAUAAUAUUUUCUACUCAUUUGUCAAAUUUAAUGAUCUCGAAUUACCAUUCCGACACCACUGAAAAUUCAGGCCAUUACAACUCUCCCCCCAUUUUGGAAAUUUCAUCCCCGAAAUUUCGUACCUGAAAAUAAAUUCGGAUACUGAAAUCUCAGCAAUUCCUCUGUUUCCCAGGUUGCCUCCUCUUUAACCUUAACUAGUGGUACAUGUUUAUUCCUCAACUCUUUAACCUUCUGAGCUAAAAUUUUCACCGGUUCCUCUGAAUAAGUCAUGUCAGGUUGAAGCUCUAUUUCCGUAUGAGGAAUUACAUGUGAUGGAUCUGAUCUGUACCGUCUCAACAUAGACACAUGAAACACAUUAUGAAUCUUUUCAAGUUCCGGGGGCAAAGCUAAUCUAUAGGUUACCGGACCGAUUCUUUCAAUGAUUUCAUACGGCCCAAUAAAUCGUGGGCUGAGUUUCCCCUUUUUGCUGAACCGCAAAACUUUCUUCCACGUGACACUUUCAAAAAUACACGAUCACCCACAUUAAACUCUAUAUCCCUUCUCUUCAAAUUUGCAUAUGAUUUUUGCCGAUCGGAGGUAGCUUUUAAACAAUCUCGAAUAAUACGAACUUUUUCUUCAGUUUCCUGAGUCAAUUCCACUCCCACCAGUUUCGAUUCACUUAAUUCAGACCAAUAUAAUGGAGUUCUACACUUUCUUCCAUACAAAGCUUCAAACGGUGCCAUUUUAAUGCUAGUUUGAUAACUAUUAUUAUAAGCAAAUUCGGCUAAAGGUAAAUACCUUUCCCAGCUACCGCCGAACUCAAGUAUACAACACCUUAACAUAUCUUCUAAAAUCUGAAUCACUCGCUCUGACUGCCCAUCUGUCUAGGGAUGAAAAGCUGUGUUGAAAUUUAAUUUGGUGCCUAAAGCUUCCUGUAAUUUACUCUAAAAUCUCGAGGUAAAUCUCGGAUCUCGAUAUGAAAUAAUAGAUGUCGGUACCCCAUGUAACCUCACUAUCUCAGACACAUAUAACUCCGCUAACUUUUCAAGCUGAUAAUCUGCUCUGACUGGAAUAAAAUGUGCUGACUUAGUUAACCGAUCAACAAUCACCCAUAUUGAAUGUUUCUUCUUCAGAGUUAUUAGUAAUCCAGAUACAAAAUCCAUUGUAACAUGUUCCCAUUUCCAAUCUGGAAUCAUAAUGGGCUGUAACAACCCUGUCGGCACUUGAUGCUCAGCUUUCACCUGUUGACAGAUCAAACAUCUUGCUACAUACUCAAAGAUUUCCCGUUUCAUUCCGGGCCACCAAUACAUUUUCUUCAAAUCACAAUACAUUUUUGUACUACCCGGGUAAAUAGAACACAUACUACUGUGAGCCUCUGAUAAAAUAUCAUUUUUCAAGUUUAAAUUAUUCGGAAUACAUAUUCUAUUACGAUAAUAUAACAUACCAUUUUCAUCAAUGGAGUAUUCUGAGCUUAACUUAUCUUGAACCAUCUGUCGUUUUAUCAUCAAUUUUGGGUCAUCAUCCUAUAACUCCCGAAUCCGUUGAAAAAACACGGGUUUAGCCUUUAAUUCUGCUAGUACAGAACCAUCCUCAUUAAUAGAUAAAUGAGCAUUCAAUGCCCGUAGUGCAAAUAAUGAUGAUUUCCGACUAAGCGCAUCUGCUGCGGUAUUUGCUUUCCCUCGGUGAUAGUCAAUGACAAGAUCAUAAUCUUUCAGCAACCCCAACCAUCGUCUCUGUGUCAAAUUUAACUCUUUCUGAGUCAUUAAAUACUUCAAGCUUUUAUGAUCAGUAUACACGUAACAUUUCUCACCAUAUAAGUACUCUUCAUAUCUUCAAAGCAAACACGAUCGCUGCCAAUUCCAAAUCAUGUGUAGGAUAAUUCUUCUCGUGCGGUUUCAGUUGCCGAGAAGCAUAUGCCACCACUUUGCCUGACUGAAUAAGUACACAGCCCAACCCAUUUACAGACGCAUCACUAUAUACUACAAACGGUACACCCGAUUCUGGUUGAGUCAACACUGGAGCCUCUGUCAACAUCUUUUUCAACUAAUCGAAACUCCGCUGACAUUCAUCUAACCAUAUAAAUUCAACAUUCUUUUGUAGCAAUCGAGUCAACGGUAAGGUAAUCAUUGAGAAAUCUUUGACAAAUCGACGAUAAUAACCUGCCAAUCGUAGAAAACUCUGCACUUCAGUCACAUUCUUCGGAACUUUCCAAUUUAUCACUGCUGCUACCUUACUUGGAUCCACUCUUAUUCCAUCAGCUGAUACAAUAUGACCCAAAAACGCAACUUCAUGGAGCCAAAAUUCACAUUUGCUAAAUUUGGCAUACAAUUGUUUCUCCCACAAAGUCUGUAAUACAAUCCUUAGAUGUUGUGCAUGUUCGGACUCUGUCUUUGAAUAAAUCAAUAUAUCGUCAAUGAACACAACCACAAAUCUAUCCAAAUAUGACUGAAAAAUUCUAUUCAUCAAAUCCAUAAAAGCAGCAGGGGCAUUGGUUAAACCAAAUGGCAUCACCAAAAAUUCAAAAUGACCAUAUUGAGUUCGAAAGGCAGUUUUCGGCACUUCACACUCUUUAACUUUCAACUGAUAAUACUCGGAUCGAAGAUCUAUCAUGGAAAAUACUGCAGCACCUUUCAACUGAUCAAACAAAUCAUCAAUAUGAGGCAAAGGAUUUUUAUUCUUUACUGUUACCUUAUUCAACUGUCUGUAAUCUAUACACAGUCUUAAAAAACCAUCCUUCAUUUUCACAAACAAGACAGGUGCACCCCAGGGCGACAUACUCGGUCUGAUGAACCCUUUAUCUAAUAACUCCUGCAGCUGCGCCUUCCGUUCUUUUAACUCGACUGGAGCCAUUCUGUACGGUGUCAUUGAGAUAGGAGUUGUUCCGGGGAUCACAUCAAUUACAAAUUCAACUUCUCUAUCAGGUGGUAGACCGGGUAACUCUUCAGGGAAUUCAUUCACCAUUGGCACUUGUUCGAGCUUCAAAUCAGAACCCUGAGUAUCCAGGAUAUAGGCCAAGAAUGCUUCGUUGCCUUUGCGUAAUAACCUCUGAGCAGAGAGAGCUAAAAUAAUUCUGACUGUAUCACCCAGCUUUUCAGACCCAACUGAGAUUAUAUCUCCCGUUUGACAUUUCAAACUGAUCUGUUUAUCACGACAAUUCACUACCACAUCAUGUCUCAUUAACCAGUCCAUCCCCAGAAUAAUGUCAAAUUCCCGAAAAGGUAACAACAUCAAAUCAGCGAGGAAUUCAUAGCCUUUCACUUUCAGUGGACAAUUACGACAUAUCAAAUUAACCAUCACACUUUGACCUAAUGGGUUUGUGACUUGUAUAUCAAAUUCAGUGGACUCAACAGAUAAUUUCUUUUUAGAUGCUAACAUAGUGCAAAUAUAUGAAUGAGUAGAUCCAGGGUCUAUCAAUGCAUAAACAAUAACAUCAUAAAGAUAGAAAGUACCAGCAAUUACAUCAGGAGCCGUAGCCUCUUUCCUUGCUCGAAUGGCGUAGGUACGUGCUGGUGCUCUAUUCUCUGAUCGACCAACUGAUUCCCUCGUACCCGAACGGGUAGUCCCUGUAGCACUGCUCUGGCCCGAACGUCUACUUUUUUGGGGAAUGGUUCUCUGUAUUUCUUUCUGUUCCACUUCAUCUUUUUAUAGUCGGGGACAAUCUCGAAUAAGAUGAUUAGUACCCCCACAUUUUUAACAAGCCCCCAUCUUGGUCCUGCAUUCUCUGAAAUGAUAUCUUCCACAAUAUUGACACUUAGGCCGGGGAACAUUCUGAACACUGCUCACACUUGCUGGAGGUCUAUCGAAUACCCUGAAAUCAGAUUGUCUUGGUCUAUCUCUACCCGAUCUUCUCGACAUUGAUGUAGUUCGACUAAUUUCUUCUCUAGAUUUGUUCACUGGUAAAUCUAAAAAUGACUUAGAAGCACCUCUUUUGAAUGGCUCUUUACUUUUUCGAUCCCGCUACAUUUUUCUGUUGUAUACUUCUUCGAGCUUUUGAGCACGGUUUGACAGAACAGGGAACUCUCGUAUUUCAUUACCCCCAAUCAUCAUUCUAAUUUCAUCAUUUAACCCUUCUUCAAACCUGAUACACAUUUCUUCUUUAAUAAGUACAAUGUCUCGGGCAUAUUUGCUGAGGUAGACAAAUUCUCUUUCGUAUUCAGCCACUGAUUUAUCUCCCUGGCGUAGGUCGAGAAAUUCCCUUUUAUUUUUAUCCAAAUACCGUCUGCCCACAUAUUUCUUCUUAAAUUCAUUUUGGAAAAAUUCCCAAUAAAUUUUCUCUGUCGGAACCACAUCCUCAAUCGUCUCCCACCAACUAUAAGCUUCUUCUUUCAAUAGAGACACAACACAUCUCAAAUAAUCAUCUGGUGAGCAAGCCAUUUCUUUAAAAAUUCUUAUUAAACUCUGUAACCAAUAUUCAGCUUUGACGGGAUCUUUAUCAGUCCUUCCCCGAAAUUCUUCGGCUCUAAGUUUUUUAAGCCUUUCCAAUGGAGAACGCUUUCUGGAUUCAGUCGUUGUAAAAGGUGGAGGAGCAACCGGGUGUACCACCGAUGGAGCAGUAGGGGGAGGAGGUGGUUCAGCCUGAUUUCUUUCUUGCCUCAUUUCAGUAUAUCAUUGAUUCAUAAUCCCAUAAAUCAUAUUCUUUAACUCUUGCUCUCGCAUUUGGGAGAUCGGAACAUCACUGCUUGUUCUUUGUUUAGAAUUAUGUAUUCUACUAUUAACUUCUUCUUUCUCAGUACGUUUAGGUAUAUCUAACAUCUCCAUAACCGGAGAAUAUCUACUAUUAACUUCUUCUUACUGGAUUCAGUCGUUGUAAGAGGUGGAGAAGCAACCGGGGGUACCACCGAUGGAGCAGUAGGCAGAGGAGGUGGUUCAGCCUGAUUUCUUUCUUGCCUCAUUUCAGUAUACCACUGAUUCAUAAUCCCAUAAAUCAUAUUCUUUAACUCUUGCUCCCGUAUUUGGGAGAUCAGAACACCACUGCUUGUUCUUUGUUCAGAAUUAUGUAUUCUACUAUUAACUUCUUCUUGCUCAGUACGUUCAAGUAUAUCUGACAUCUCUAUAACCGGAGAAUAUCUAUAAAAAUAACAAAGAUUAGAUCGCAUCAUACGCAUUACACUAUCACAGAUUUAUAUGGCAUGUAUUUCUAAACACUUUACACUUCACACAUAUUCCGAGAACCGGCUAAACCUGGAUCUGAUACCAAUAAAAUGUAACACCCUUUACCCGAGACCGUUUCCAGAGUCGAGCAUGAGGCGUUACUUGACUUAACUUAAAAGUUCAGGGCAUAAAAAAUUACUUUCAAAAUUAAUUUCACCAUUCACAAUAAAGUUGUCCACCCACGCAGCAAUCUCUAAAUUAAUUAUAACUCAAGAUGCGAAACUCGAAAUUUAGAUCUGUAUAUUUUACCUAAAACUAGACUCAUAUAUCUAUUCACUACAAAAUUUUCAGACUUUUUGGUUUGGCAAAUUAGUACAGUUUAUUAAUUGAAGUCUCCCCUGUUUCACUAAUAGACUAUCCUGACCUCUCGUCACUAAAAUUCAAUUAUCUCAUUAUACAAACUUGACUUGGUGUUUUCAAUUAUUUUUACUUAAAACAGACUCAUUAAGGAAUUUAAACAUAUAAUUUAUAACUCAUAAUUCAUUUUGUACAAUUUUUAAUGAAUUUCUAAAGUCAAAACAGGGGACUUCAAAAUCAUUCUGACUCUGUCUCACUAAAAUUCAAAUAUCUAAAAGUAUAUAACUCUUUUGCUUACUCUAUUGCUUUAAUGUGAAAGUAGGCUCAUUCAGCUUUAAUUUCAUCUCUCACUCAACUUAUAAUUCUAAGUCCACAUUUUUGGUGAUUUUUCAAUGUUACAUCAAUACUGCUGUCCAAAAACUGUUCCAUUGAAAUUUUUUUAAAAAAUUUCAAUAUAACCCUUUUAUAAUUAUCUAACCUUCCCUGCAAAUUUUAAAUCACAACCAAUUUCAGUAUUUCAACCACUUCACUUAAAUACUAAUGAAGUUCAACCAAUCAACCAUUUCAAACUAAAAACAUGCAUAGUUCAAUGUCUAACACAACCAUCACAUUCAAAUUUACUUUGCAUAUUUAGGUAUUCAUUCUUUUACUUUUUACUUCAAUUCCCUAUACAUGCCAUAUAAAUCCAAAAACUUGUUUAACAAAAUCUACCGGAGUAAAUCUUGAUAGUGUGAUUCUUGGUGUAGAUCCGAUCCUCUGAAUGUAUAAAUACGUCAAUCUACAAGAAUCAAUAAACGCACAAGUAGGCUUAAUAAACACACAAGUAAGCUUAUAGAAAGCUUAGUAAGUUCAUAGGCACCAAACAUAAAACUUACCAAACAUUUAUACACUUAUACAUUAUACACCAUUACUAAGUUUACCUGUCAACCACAUUCUUUGGUGAGUUCCUUGGUAUAAACUCACUAAUACUUAUUCUUUUACCAUAAUUCCUUUGGGCCCAUUUGUCACUUACCAUCCUUGAUCAAAAUUAAGGAACGGUUACGGAAAAUUGAGUACUUCACUUUCACUUUGCCAUAGUAUAACUAUGGUCUUACGUAUGAUCACUUAUCACUUGUCCUUGAUCAGGUUAGUGUAGCUAGGCUACCACUUAUCACUUGUUCCUGAUCAGAUAAGUGUAGCUAAGCUAUCACUUGUCACUUUGUCACUUGAUCAGAAGUACUCAAAUCCGGUGUUCCGCUCAAUUUGAUCAUUUAUUCAGUUUGCGCAUUUUUAUUUUAUUCUCAUUUCAUCAAUAAUAUAUAUAUAUAUAUAUAUAUAUAUAUAUAUAUAUUUCACCAUACAUUAUAUAAUUCAUGAAAUUAACAUUUAAUCAUUAAAUUUCAUCCAUAUGAACUUACCUAGGUCGAUUUUCUGAAUUUGUAAAAGUUCAAGGACUAAUCAGCUACUUUUUCUUUUCCUCGACUUGUUUCGGGUUCUCGAUAUGAUUCAAAUAUAUGAAAAACCAGCUUGGAGGGACUCUUCAAUGGCGUUUUUUGCUGAGAAAUAUGAUGAAUUGCCUAGAAACUCUUUUAGUUAAGAUUUUUAUUUGUUAACUUUUACAAAAUUUCUAAUUUUGCCCUUAUUACAUCACUUUUUCAGAUUUUUCUUCUCUUAUGCUGUCUCAACUAUUCCAUAUUAGCAUAUUUAUGCCUUAAGUCCCUCCUUAUUUACCACUUAAGCUGUUUAAUCACUUUUAACAAAUUUUACAUUAUUUUCAGUUUAGUCCUUUUUAAUUAAUUAACCACCCAAACGUUAGAAUUUUCUAACGAAACUUUAAUACCAAUUCAAUGACACUCUAUAAAUGUUUCUAAAAAUAUUUAUGGCUCGAUUGAUGAGUUUGAGGUUUCGAUACCUCAUUUUCGAUUCUAAUUAUUUUAAUAUUUAUUCUUAGUACACUAUUCACUAUUUCAAAAAUUUUCCUAACUUCGCAUUUAACUUAUACUUACUAAAUUAAUAAUAUUUUCUACUCAUUUGUCAAAUUUAAUGAUCUCGAAUUACCAUUCCGACACCACUGAAAAUUCAGGCCAUUACAACUCUCCCCCCAUUUUGGAAAUUUCGUCCCCGAAAUUUCGUACCUGAAAAUAAAUUCGAAUACUGAAAUCUCAUCAAUUCCUCUGUUUCCCAGGUUGCCUCCUCAGAUCCAUGUCGAUUCCAUAACACCUUAACUAGUGGUACAUGUUUAUUCCCUAACUCUUUAACAUCCCAAGCUAAAAUUUUCACCGGUUCCUCUGAAUAAGUCAUGUCAGGUUGAAGCUCUAUUUCCGUAUGAGGAAUUACAUGUGAUGGAUCUGAUUUGUACCGUCUCAACAUAGACACAUGAAACACAUUAUGAAUCUUUGCAAGUUCCGGGGGCAAAGCUAAUCUAUAUGUUACCGGACCGAUUCUUUCAAUGAUUUCAUACGGCCCGAUAAAUCGUGGGCUGAGUUUUCCUUUUUUGCUGAACCGCAAAACUUUCUUCCACGGUGACACUUUCAAAAAUACACGAUCACCCACAUUAUACUCUCUAUCCCUUCUCUUCAAAUCUGCAUAUGAUUUUUGCUGAUCGGAGGCAGCUUUUAAGCAAUCUCGAAUAAUACGAACUUUUUCUUCAGUUUCCUGAGUCAAUUCCACUUCCACCAGUUUCAAUUCACUUAAUUCAGACUAAUAUAAUGAAGUUCUACACUUUCUUCCAUACAAAGCUUCAAACGGUGCCAUUUUAAUGCUAGUUUGAUAACUAUUAUUAUAAGCAAAUUCGGCUAAAGGUAAAUACCUUUCCCAGCUACCGCCGAACUCAAGUAUACAACACCUUAACAUAUCUUCUAAAAUCUGAAUCACUCGCUCUGACUGCCCAUCUGUCUGGGGAUGAAAAGCUGUGUUGAAAUUUAAUUUGGUGCCUAAAGCUUCCUGUAAUUUACUCUAAAAUCUCGAGGUAAAUCUCGGAUCUCGAUCUGAAAUAGUAGAUGUCGGUACCCCAUGUAACCUCACUAUCUCAGACACAUAUAACUCCGCUAACUUUUCAAGCUGAUAAUCUGCUCUGACUGGAAUAAAAUAUGCUGAUUUAGUUAACCGAUCAACAAUCACCCAUAUCGAAUCUUUCUUCUUCGAAGUUACUGGUAAUCCGGAUACAAAAUCCAUCGCAACAUGUUCCUAUUUCCACUCUGGAAUCAUAAUGGGCUGUAACAACCCUGUCGGCACUUGAUGCUCAGCUUUCACCUGUUGACAGAUCAAACAUCUUGCUACAUACUCACAGAUUUCCCAUUUAAUUCCGGGCCACCAAUACAUUUUCUUCAAAUCACAAUACAUUUUUAUACUAACCCGGUGAAUAGAACACAUACUACUGUGAGCCUCUGAUAAAAUAUCAUUUUUCAAGUUUAAAUUAUUCGGAAUACAUAUUCUAUUACGAUAAUAUAACAUACCAUUUUCAUCAAUGGAGUAUUCUGAGCUUAACUUAUCUUGAACCAUCUGUCGUUUUAUCAUCAAUUUUGGGUCAUCAUCCUGUAACUCCUGAAUCCAUUGAAAGAACACGGGUUUAGCCUUUAAUUCUGCUAGUACAGAACCAUCCUCAUUAAUAGAUAAAUGAGCAUUCAAUGCCCGUAGUGCAAAUAAUGAUGAUUUCCGACUAAGUGCAUCUGCUGCGGCAUUUGCUUUCCCUGGGUGAUAGUCAAUGACAAGAUAAUAAUCUUUCUGCAACUCUAACCAUCGUCUCUAUCUCAAAUUUAACUCUUUCUGAGUCAUUAAAUACUUUAAGCUUUUAUGAUCAGUAUACACGUAACAUUUCUCACCAUAUAAGUAGUGUCUCCUUAUCUUCAAAGCAAACACGAUCGCUGCCAAUUCAAAAUCAUGUGUAGGAUAAUUCUUAUCGUGCGGUUUCAGUUGCCGAGAAGCAUAUGCCACCACUUUGCCUGACUGAAUAAGUACACAGCCCAACCCAUUUACAGAUGCAUCACUAUAUACUACAAAUGGUACACCCAAUUCUGGUUGAGUCAACAUUGGAGCCUCUGUCAACAUCUUUUUCAACUGAUCGAAACUCCGCUGACAUUUAUCUGACCAUAUAAAUUCAACAUUCUUUUGUAGCAAUCGAGUCAACUGUAAGGUAAUCAUUGAGAAAUCUUUGAUAAAUCGACAAUAAUAACAUACCAAUCGUAGAAAACUCCACACUUCAAUAACAUUCUUCGGAACUUUCCAAUUUACCAUUGCCGCUACCUUACUUGGAUCCACUCUUAUUCCAUGAGCUGAUACAAUAUGACCCAAAAAUGCAACUUCAUGGAGCCAAAAUUCUCAUUUGCUGAAUUUGGCAUACAAUUGUUUCUCUCGCAAAGUCUGUAAUACAAUCCUUAGAUGUUGUGCAUGUUCGGACUCUGUCUUUGAAUAAAUCAAUAUAUCGUCAAUGAACAACCACAAAUCUAUCCAAUUAUGACUGAAAAAUUCUAUUCAUCAAAUCCAUAAAAGCAGCAAGGGCAUUGGUUAAACCAAAUGGCAUCACCAAAAAUUCAUAAUGACCAUAUCGAGUUUGGAAGGCAGUUUUCGGCACAUCACACUCUUUAACUUUCAACUGAUAAUACCCAGAUUGAAGAUCUAUCUUGGAAAAUAUUGCAGCACCUUUCAACUGAUCAAACAAAUCAUCAAUAUGAGGCAAAGGAUAUUUAUUCUUUACUGUUACCUUAUUCAACUGCCUGUAAUCUAUACACAGUCUUAGAGAACCGUCCUUUUUUUUCACAAACAAGACAGGUGCACCCCAGGGCGACAUACUCGGUCUGAUGAAUCAUUUCUCUAAUAACUCCUGUAACUGCGCCUUCAACUCUUUUAACUCGGCUGGAGCCAUUCUAUACGGUGUCAUUGAGAUAGGAGUUGUUCCGGCGAUCACAUCAAUUACAAAUUCAACUUCUUUAUCAGGUGGUAGACCGGGUAACUCUUCAGGGAACACAUUAGGGAAUUCAUUCACUACUGGCACUUGUUUGAGCUUCAAAUCAGAACCCUGAGUAUCCAUGAUAUAGGCCAAGAAUGCUUCGUUGCCUUUGCGUAAUAACCUCUGAGCAGGGAGAGCUGAAAUAAUUCUGACUGUAUCACCCAUAUUUUCAGACCCAACUGAGAUUAUAUCUCCCGUUUGACAUUUCAAAUUGAUCUGUUUAUCACGACAAUUCACUACCGCAUCAUGUCUCACUAACCAGACCGUCCCAAGAAUAAUGUCAAAUUCUCGAAAAGGUAACAACAUCAAAUCAGCGGGGAAUUCAUAGCCUUUCACUUUUAAUGGACAAUUACGACAUAUCAAAUUAACCAUCACACUUUGACCUAAUGGGUUUGUGACUUGUAUAUCAAAUUCAGUGGACUUAACAGAUAAUUUCUUUUCAGAUGCUAACAUAGUGCAAAUAUAUGAAUGAGUAGAUCCAGGGUCUAUCAAUGCAUAAACAAUAACAUCAUAAAGAUAGAAAGUACCAACAAUUACAUCAGGAGCCGUAGCCUCUUCCCUUGCUCGAAUGGCAUAGGUACGUGCUGGUGCUCUAUUCUUUGAUCGACCAACUGAUUCCCUCGUACCCGAACGGGUAGUCCCUGUAGCACUGCUCUGGCCCGAAUGUCUACUUCUUUGGGGAAUGGUUCUCUGUAUCUCUUUCUGUUCCACUUCAUCUUUUUACAGUCGGGGACAAUCUCGAAUAAGAUGAUUAGUAGCCCCACAUUUUUAACAAGCCCCCAUCUUGGUCCUGCAUUCUCCGAAAUGAUAUCUUCCACAAUAUUGACACUUAGGCCGGGGAGCAUUCUGAACACCGCUCACACUUGCUGCAGGUCUAUCGAAUACCCUGAAAUCAGAUUGUCUUGGUCUAUCUCUACCCGAUCUUCCCAACAUUAAUGUAGUUCGACUAAUUUCUUCUCUAGAUUUCUUCACUGGCAAAUCUAAAAAUGACUUAGAAGCACCUCUUUUGAAUGGCUCUUUACUUUUUCGAUCCCGCUGCAUUUUUCUAUUGUAUACUUCUUCGAGCUUUUGAGCACGGUCUGACAGAACAACGAACUCUCGUAUUUCAUUACCCCCAAUCAUCAUUCUAAUUUCAUCAUUUAACCCUUCUUCAAACCUGAUACACAUUUCUUCUUUAGUAGGUACAAUGUCUCGGGCAUAUUUGCUGAGGUAAACAAAUUCACUUUCGUAUUCAGCCACUGAUUUAUUUCCCUGGCGUAGGUCGAGAAAUUCCCUUUUAUUUUUAUCCAAAUACCGUCUGCCCACAUAUUUCUUCUUAAAUUCAUUUUGGAAAAAUUCCCAAUAAAUUUUCUCUGCUGGAACCACAGCCUCAAUCGUCUCCCACCAACUAUAAGCUUGCUUCUUUCAAUAGGGACACAGCACAUCUCAAAUAAUCAUCUGGUGAGCAAGCCAUUUCUUUAAAAAUUCUUAUUAAACUCUGUAACCAAUAUUCAGCUUUGACGGGAUCUUCAUCAGUCCUUCCUGAAAUUCUUCGGCUCCAAGUUUUUUAAGCUUUUCCAAUAGAGAACGCUUACUAGAUUCAGUCGUUGUAGGAGGUGGAGGAGUAACCGGGGGUACCAUCGAUGGAGCAGUAGGGGGAGGAGGUGGUUCAGCCUGAUUUCUUUCCUGCCUCAUUUCAAUAUACCACUGAUUCAUAAUCUCAUAAAUCAUAUUCUUUAAUUCUUGCUCUUGCAUUUGGGAGAUCGGAACAUCACUGCUUGUUCUUUGUUCAGAAUUAUGUAUUCUACUAUUAACUUCUUCUUACUUAGUUCGUUCAGGUAUAUCUGACAUCUUUAUAACUGGAGAAUAUAUAUGAAAAUAACAAAGAUUAGAUCGGAUCAUACGCAUCACACUAUCACAGAUUUAUAUGGCAUGUAUUUCUAAACACUUUACACUUCACACAUAUUCCGAGAACCGGCUAAACCGGGAUCUGAUACCAAUAAAAUAUAACACCCUUUACCCAAGACCGUUGCCCGAGUCGAGCAUGAGGCGUUACUUGACUUAACUUAAAAGUUCAGGGCAUAAAAAUUUACUUUCAAAAUUAAUUUCACCAUUCACAAUAAAGCUGUCCACCUGCGCAGGAGUCACUAAAUCAAUUAUAACUCAAGCUACGAAACUCAAAAUUUAGAUCCGUAAAUUUUCCCUAAAACUAGACUCAUAUAAAUAUUCACCAUAAAUUUUUAAGAAUUUUUGGUUUAUCCAAUUAGUAUAGUUUAUUAGUUUAAGUCUCCCUUGUUUCACUAAUAGACUACCCUGACCUCUCGUCACUAAAAUUCAAUUAUCUCCUUAUACAGACUUGACAUGGUGCUUCCAAUUAUUUUUACUUAAAAUAUACUCAUUAAGGAAUUUAAAAAUAUAAUUUAUAACUCAUAAUUACUUUUUUACAAUUUUUAUUGAAUUUCUAAAGUCAGAACAGAGGACUUCAAAAUCAUUCUGACCCUGUCUCACUAAAAUUCAAAUAUCUAAAAGUAUAUAACUCUUUUGCUUACUCUAUUGCUUUCAUGUGAAAGUAUACUCAUUCAGAUUUAAUUUCAUAUCUCACUUAACUUAUAAUUCUAUUUCCACUAUUUUUGGUGAUUUUUCACAGUUACAUCAAUGCUGCUGUCCAAAAACUGGUCCAUUGAAAUUUUUUAAAAAAAUUCAAUAUAACCCCUUUAUAAUUAUCUAACCUUCCCUGCAAAUUUCAAAUCACAACCAAUUUCAGUAUUUCACCUACUUCACUUAAAUACUAAUGAAGUUCAACCAAUCAACCAUUUCAAACUAAAAACAUGUAUAGUUCAAUGUCUAACACAACCAUCACAUUCAAAUUUACUUUGCAUACUUAGUCAUUCAUUCUAUUACUUUUUACUUCAAUUCCCUAUACAUGCCAUAUAAAUCCAAAAAGUUGUUUAACAAAAUCUACCAGAGUAAAUCUAGAUAGUGUGAUUCUUGGUGUAGAUCCGAUCCUCUGAAUGUAUAAAUACGUCAAUCUACAAGAAUCAAUAAACACACAAUUAAGCUUAUAGAAAGCUUAGUAAGUUCAUAAGCACCAAACAUAAAUCUUACCAAACAUUUAUACACUUAUACAUUAUACACCAUUACUAAGUUUACCUGUCAACCACAAUCUUUGGUGAGUUCCUUGUUAUAAACUCACUACUACUUAUUCUUUUACCAUAAUUCCUUUGGGCCCAUUUGUCACUUACCAUCCUUGAUCAAAAUUAAGGAACGGUUACGGAAAAUUGAGUACUUCACUUUCACUUUGCCAUAGUAUAACUAUGGUCUUACGUAUGAUCACUUAUCACUUGUCCUUGAUAAGAUAAGUGUAGCUAGGCUACCACUUAUCACUUUGUCACUUGAUCAGAUAAGUGUAGCUAAAGCUACCACUUAUCACUUUAUCACCACUUAUCACUUGUUCCUGAUCAGAUAAGUGUAGCUAAAACUACCACUUAUCACUUUGUCACCACUUAUCACUUGUUCCUGAUCAGAUAAGUGUAGCUAAAGCUACCACUUAUCACUUUGUCACUUGAUCAGAUAAGUGUAGCUAAGCUAUCACUUAUCACUUUGUCACUUGAUCAGAAGUACUCUAAUCCGGUGUUCCGCUCAAUUUGAUCAUUUAUUCAGUUUUCACAUUUUUAUUUUAUUCUCAUUUCAUCAAUAAAUAUAUAUAUUUCAUCAUACAUUAUAUAAUUCAUGAAAUUAACAUUUAAUCAUUAAAUUUCAGCCAUAUGAACUUACCUGGGUCGAUUUAUUGAAUUUGUAAAAGUUCAGGGACUAAUCAGCUACUUUUUCUUUUCCUCGACUUGUUUCGGGUUCUCAAUAUGAUUCAAAUAUAUGAAAAACCAGCUUGGAUGGACUCUUCAAUGGCGUUUUUUGCUGAGAAAUAUGAUGAAUUGCCUAGAAACUCUUUUAGUUAAGAUUUUUAUUUGUUAACUUUUACAAAAUUUCCAAUUUUGCCCUUAUUACAUCACUUUUUCAGAUUUUUCUUCUCUUAUGCCGUCUCAACUAUUCCAUAUUAGCAUAUUUAUGCCUUAAGUCCCUCCUUAUUUGCCACUUAAGCUGUUUAAUCACUUUUAACAAAUUUUACAUUAUUUUCAGUUUAGUCCUUUUUAAUUAAUUAACCACCCAAACGUUAGAAUUUUCUAACGAAACUUUAAUAUCAAUUCAAUGGCACUCUAUAAAUGUUUCUAAAAAUAUUUAUGGCUUGAUUGAUGAGUUUGAGGUUUCGAUACCUCAUUUUUUAUUCUAAUUAUUUUAAUAUUUAUUCUUAGUACACUAUUCACUAUUUCAAAAAUUUUCCUAACUUCGCAUUUAACUUAUACUCACUAAAUUAAUAAUAUUUUCUACUCAUUUGUCAGAUUUAGUGAUCUAGAAUUACCAUUCCGACACCACUGAAAAUUCAGGCCAUUACAUUAUGUUUAUUGACUCAUUUUUUCUGUUGACUGAAUUUCAGGUAACUCAUCGACUUAGGCGGGUCGGCAUGGCGAGAGCUCGGUCAUCCUUAUUUAGUAAUUUUCUGUUUAAAUUAAACUUAUGCUAUAGUUGUUUUAUCUUGAAUUACAGAUUUCAAAUUUAUAUUUCUACACUAGUUCAACUAUUUAAACAUUUUCUGACAAUUAAACUUUAAUUAGUUAAAAGUGAGAAUUUCUUAAAUGAUUUGUUGUAGCUUUCCAAGCUUGGUCCUAACAUCUAGGUCGGGUUUGGGGUGUUACAACCCAAAACCCCCAAACUUUCCCCUCAAAACUUUUACUCCCCCACCCUUUCUCUUUCUCGCUCACCCUCCCAAACCCUUCUACUUUUCCCCCAAAACUUUUACUUCCCACUUUUACCCCCAAAUCAAAAAUCAAAAUCCUCCCAAAAAAAUCCUUAAACCUAAAUAGUAAUAAUUUUAUUUAUGGCUACUAUUUAUAUUAUAAAUUAAAUUUCACAUUUUCUAUUAUUUAUAUUAUUAAAUUGUUUAAUCAUUUUGAAUCUUUAUCAAUUUCUGUUAAAACUGUAUCAUUGAUGAUGUCAUACAUUAUUUGUGUUAAAAAUUUCUAUUGGUAUCAAUUUCACAUUUUAUCUUUAAAAUAAAUUUUAUUAAAAAAAUUACUUUUUUACAUUUAAUAUAUUUUUUAAUUUCAAAAUAUAUGGUGACAAGAAUUAGAAGAUAAUUGAAGCAACUAAGCAAGUAAAAAAGCUAACAUGUAUAUAAAAGAUUAAAUAAAUUAUGAAGGGAUGAAAGUUAAUAACACAUUUGAUUACGGUGGACAAAUUUGAUAAUGAUGGGUGACAGUGGCUACAAGGAUCCAAAGUAAUUUUUUCAAUUAACUGGAAACAAAUAUAUUCGAUUCGAUUCGAUAAAAUUUGAAAUCAUUUUAGGAUGAUAAAAUAAGACUCGUCAACUCGAUUAACUCGAAGUUUUUUCAUUUGAUUCGAUUAGACGCUCACCCCUACAAAGUAUGACCGAUUGGUCUGAUUCUGAAAAAAAUUGGUUUUGAUCAAUGAAAGAACUUUUACGAUGGCGACAGGUCUAACAAACAGGUGAUAUUUUGAAAAGAAAAUUAAUCUCCAUAGUCUCAACCUUAGGAGGGUGAAUUUUGAGCAUUGCAUUUGUUGUCAUUGUUAGACAUUAUAAAGGAAGAAAAAAGAAAGAAAAAAGUUAAAAUGAGGGAAAUUAUUGAAAAAAAGAGAGAAGAGAAUAAUUAAUUUUUUUAAAAUUUUACAUGUCAAUCUAUUAUUGAUUAGAUUUUUUUAAUGAGUGUAACAUUUUGGUGUUAAAUGGAUAAUAAAAAAAUAUUUUAAGUAUCAUUUAUGAUAAAAAAUAUUUAGGUAUCAAUUUGAAAAAAAUAUGUAGCUUAGAUACUAAUUGAUGGGUUAAUUUUUUUAGCUUAAUAAUUUGAUUAAACCGAAAUACCAACUGAAAAAAAGUUUACUCGCCGCUUAUGAAAAAAAAUAAGUAUGAAUUUGUAAGUUAAAUCUCCCUAAAAGAAAAAAUAUAUCACAUUCAAUACGGGGUGAAUGAAGCAAUGAAUGCAAUGGGGUAUUACAACCAGCCACAUGUCAUUCAAUUCAUGUUAUAUCUACCUUGUUGGCCCCACAGGCGGUCUUUUCCAUUAUUUUCGAAGUGAACGACAUGAGUCGGACCUAUAUCGGCCCCAACAAACAACCUCAACCACUUGUUUUGUUAGGUUGUUGACUAAUUUGAAUAUGUCGGCUCAAAGCUUUUUGAAAAUUAAAUUAUUUUUUAUAUUAAUAUCAUAUAGGUAUAAAAAUUUAACGUUUUGUAAAAAAAAUAAAUUUAGUGUUAAAUUUAAAUAAUUAUAAAAAAUUAUACAAAAUACAAAGACAACUUAGAGUCAAUAAAAAAAAUAUGGAAAAUCAAUUCAUACAUUAAAUGGCAUAAAAAUAUUAUGAACACUAUACAAAUAUAUGAAUGUUUUUAUAUCUAUUUAAAAUAAGUUAUUAACGCUUAAACUUCAACCAAUUAAAUAUUAAUUUAACUAUAAACUAUAAAAAAUUAAAAUUUCAUUUGCCCUAAACAAUUAUUCUAAUUUCGCCCCUGUAUAAAAUAGUUCUAAUAUUAAAAAAAAAGUUAUACGAAUAUGGAGUGUUAAAAAAAAAGGCUUUCAACUUUUAAUAUUCCAAACAAAUAAAAGAAAUAAUAAUAACAGUUUACAAGUGCAAUAAAAGUAAUACAUAUUUGAUGAAUUAAAAAUAGAAUAAAUAUAACUAACUAUAACAGAAAUAUAUUUAGAUUUAAACCAAAUUUUUUUGAAGAUGAAAUUUGAACUCACAAAUAAUAUUUAUAAAUGAUGAGCCUAAUGAUGAUAUGUUUUAGAACAUGUAUAUUUUAAUUUCAUUUGAUAUUUAAAUUAAUGAAUGAAAUGAGUAUAUUAGCAUAAAUAUAUUGAAUUUCUAGAUUUAUUAAAAAUCCAACUAAAUAGAGUAGAUCCAUAAAUUUAAAAAAUGAUUAUGGAUUUUGAAAUAUAAAUCUAAAAUUUAAAAUCUGAAACCCUCCUAAAUGUUUUCCAAAGUAAGGCGGGGAUAAAUGGUAUAGGGAAGACGGUGGGUAGAUAGAUGUACGGUUUAUUUAUAACUUCGUUUUUAUUAGUCGGCUUACAGUUUCAUAAAAAGCAUCCGUGCAAGGCAUGUUCAAAUGCUGCACUAGCAUACCACUACUAUAAAAAAAACACAUACAAGAGCACCACAAAUUUAUCCCAAAAUACAUUAAAUAAAUGACUCCUAAGGGUGCCAGAUUUAACUAGUGUGUCUGGGAUUGUAUUAGCCUCUCUGAGGCCAUGUGAAAAAAUUUAAUGUUAUUGUUAUAUUUCCAUCUCGAUACGUUGCAAGACAUGAAGCAAUCUGUAAACAACUCUCUUUUGGAAGCAGUUUGCAUACGACUCUUCGCUAAGAACCAUUUGUUGUGAUCUUUCGCUUAGGAUUGCUCACAAAUGACCCCCAUGCACCCUAUCUCUCUCCCUCCUUAACUCAUCAUCUUGAACUCUCAUCCUAUCAUAGGUGAAUCGAGACUCUUCUCCUCCACCCUUUCCUCGUUGGUUACUUGUAGCAAAAAAAAUUAAUUUCACCGAAAAUGUUGGAGAGAUCCCAUGGUCUAAGUGUGUUGUUAGAGCAAAGCUCGAUGGCAAAUUUGGAGUCAAAUUUUAGAAUAAACCCUUUAAAAUCCAUUACACCGUAAAGGAAAAUUUUUACAAUUACAUUAACAAUAAAUAUUCAAAAUUUACUCAUCUAUCUAUACUUAUAUUAAGCCUUAUUUGAGUUGGAGUCAAGAGUCAACUAGGUACUAACUCAGUUGAGAAUUUACUAAAUAAUUUUAAUAUAAAGUAAAAAAAAUAUUAAUACGAGGGUGUUUUUAUCUUUUCAUAUUUUUAAAUAAAAAAAUACUAUAAUAAGAUUUAAACUUAAGUUUAAAAUUUCAAUCAAAACAUCACUUAAAUUUAAAAUAACAUUUUUAUAUAAAAUGUGUUUAGAUUCUAAGAUAAUGAAAUUUAUGAUGAGGUAUUCAAAAUGUGUUUGAAUAUGCUAAUGAGAUAUUCAAAUUGGUAUGCACAUUCCUAAUCAGGGAGCAUUAAUGAUAAUUUAGUAAAAUAAAUUAUCUCAUUAGCAUAUAGUUUAUUAUAAAAUUAUUGUGUAAAAUAAACAAUUCACAAACUUAAGAAUUUAUAACACAAAAAUUAUACAUCAAUGUUGUUAGAAUUGUAUUAUAUCCAUCGGUUGAAUUUAAAUUUAAAAAUUUAAUCAGCGAUAAUAAUUAAAAUCGUUUCAAACUAGUAAAAUAUUGAAAAUUAAGAACUAAUAAAAUAGAUUCUAAUUAUUUUUAUUUAAAAAAUGUUACCUUCUUAUUCAGGUUACAUUAAGACAAACCCAUCUUAAUUGUAAGUAUCAUAUUGUGAAUGGUAAACUUCUUACACAACAUCCACCAUUUGUCCAAAUAUGUUAAAUUAGGUGCAACAUAGAAAUUUUAUUGUAAGGAGUGAAUCUCAUUGUUUUUAUUUUCAUCAAACAUACGUCUAACUUUAUUAUUACGGGAUUAGAACUUAAAUUUGAUAAAUUGUGGUGAUUUCUUUUCGUUAAAUUUACCUAAAUCAACCUAACACUCGAAAAGUGAGAAUUCUCCUAAAAAUUCUUUAUGUUAGCAAAAAAUAUAGUGGAAGUAACUUGAAACGAAAGAGCAAUGAGAGAAUUGAAAAGACACAAGAAAAUAAUGCAUACAAGGUGUUUGAGUAAAUGCUCUCAAUAAAUUCUUUAACUCAAGAAGGAAUGAAGUACAACCAGUAUCUAGCCCCCCUAAAAUAGAAAAUUUUCCAUUUAUAUACCUUUAUAAUUUAUAAAAUUUAAAAUUUUACUUUCCCAUAAAAUGAUAAAAAAUUGAUUUAUUUCUUUAAAAAUUAUAAAGAUGACUAUUAAAAUAGUAAAAUUGUAUUUUUAUUAUUGUAAAAAUAUACAAUUUAAUUCUGUCUCCCAAAUUUUUUUUUUGGUUUCAUCCCUAAGUACAAUGAUCAUUGUAGCAGGAUACACAGGCAUUGUAGCAGGAUACAUAGGCAUUCUAGCACAGAAUGCAAAUAUGUUGCAAAUUAACUUCGAGUCAUGGCAUAAAGUGCCCGAGAGUAACAAGAACCAAGCUCUCGAUAACAUUAAGGUAACAAAAUGUGUAUAUCAUUUAUAAUACUUGAGUUUAAGUUUCGUUUACAUUUACUUUCUGAAGUUGUGUUUUUUGUAGGGGAGAUUUGCUCUAGAGGUCUCCGAUGCUUAUGUAAAGAAGGCAUUGGGAAAAAGAUGGAGAGACCAUAAGAGCACUUUAAAGAAAGACUAUUUUAAGACAAAAACAACACUCGACGAGAGAUUACAAAAUGUCACGCCGGGAAUGCUGAGGUACCAGUGGGAAGAAGUCGUUAGAUUUUGGACUUCGAAGAAAGGAGAGGUAUGUGUUACUACAAAAAUCUUGUAAUUAUUUUGGUUUAUAGUAUUUACUAAUUAACGUACUAAUAAUUUCAUAACGUAGGAUCGUGAACGAGUUGGAACAAGUAGUAGGCAGAAACAAAAAUUCACGCACACAGCUGGGUCGAGAAGUUUUGCGUGUGUAGCUCAGGCCGAGGUAUUUUGAAUUUUUUAAUACUGGCAGAUAUUUAUUACUUUCUAUCAAAUAAUAUUUUUACUAUUGUAUUGUAGGAAGUGUUGUCGGGUCAAAAAGUUGGACGCCUUCAACUUUUUGACAUUACACAUAGGAAGAAAGAUGGAAACCCUAUGACUCCUGAAGCUGCAGAAAUUAUGGUACGUUUGCUUAAUACAAUUUGACUUGUUUUAAUUAUUUAUACUGUUUAUUUUCUAAUGGUUUUUAUUACAUUUCUUAUAAUGCAAAUAUUGUUAAGUUAUGUUGCAUUUGUUUUGUUAAUAUAUGUUGCGUUCUUAACUAUGUGAUUUAUUUUUUAGGAAAAACUGAAGGAUAAAAAGGCGAAGUACGAAGCGAUUGCUUCCAGUGAUAGUUCUGUUCAUAUUUACGACAUUGAUAAUCGGAUUAUCAUUGAAGUUUUGGGUCCUGAAAGGUAUGAUCGGGUUCGAUUUCAAGGAUCUUUUGUUAACCCAUCCCAAUAUUUUGGAUCCAGCUCGCAACAAUACAUGCAUUCGGGGAGUCAGGCUCAAGCUGAAGUUAGAGGUUAAGAGACCAGAUAGCUUAGAUGCAAGCGGCAACGAGUGAGCAAAUUACACAACUUAAAGCGGAGGCAACAUCGAGAGAAGCCAAGGUUCAAAAAAGAUAUGAAGAACUCCAGCUACAACUUAAAGCAGAUGCGGCAGCGAGAGAAGCAGAGGCAGCAGCGAGAGAAGCUGAGGUUCAACGAAAGUAUGAGCAACUGCAGUAGCAGCUUAAAGAAGAUGCGGCAACGAGAGAAGCAGCGGCUGCAGCGAGGGAAGUAGAGGCUGCAGCGAGGGAAUCAGAACAGCAUAAAAAGUUCGAUGAACUCCAGCAGCAGCUUCAGAAUAUGAUGAAGAUGUUUCAGCAGUCGCAACCGCCGUCAUCUUAGACUAUCGUUUAAAUAUACUUCAAUUUUGACUUUGGUAUUAUUAUUUUAACUUUUACAAUUUCUGUCAGAAUAAUACGAAUUUUAUUUUAUUUAUUGACAUUUAUUUUAAAUAUUAUAUAGAUUUGGUUAGAUUUGGUUGGUUGGAUUUGGUUUCUUCUGAUUUGUUUUUAUAGGAGGGGGGCUGAAAAUUUUUUUUUCAAAUCUGCCAAAAUUAGCGGCGUUUUUUUGGAUAAGCGCCGCUAAAGACCAUCGUCUAUAGUGGCGUUUUUUGGCUAAGCGCCGCUAAAGACCAUGGUCUAUAGUGGCGUUUUUCGGCUAAGCACCGCUAAAGACCAUGGUCUAUAGUGGCGUUUUUUGUCUAAGCGCCGCUAAAGACCAUGGUGUAUAGUGGCAUUUUAUGGCUAAGCGCCGCUAAAGACCAUGGUGUAUAGUGGCGUUUUUUGGCUAAGCGCCGCUAAAGACCAUGGUCUAUAGUGGCGUUUUUUGUCUAAGCCCCGCUGAAAACCAUGGUCUAUAGUGGCGUUUUUUGGCUAAGCGUCGCUAAAGACCAUGGUCUAUAGUGGCGUUUUGUGGCUAAGCGCCGCUAAAGACCAUGAUCUAUAGUGGCAUUUUUCGGCUAAGCGCCGCUAAAGACCAUGGUCUAUAGUGGCGUUUUUUAGGCUAAGCGCUGCUAAAGACCAUGGUCUAUAGCGGCGUUGCAAAGAAAACGCCGCGAAAGGUCUUGAUCUUUAGCGGCGUUUAUUAUAAAAAGCGCCGCUAAAGUUACCGACACUGUCAUUAGCGGCGAUCUUUGCGGCGCUUCGUAAAGCGCCGCUAAAAGUAUUUGCGGCGCUAAAAAACGCCGCUAUAGACCUAAAAAAGCGCCGCUAAAACCCUGUUUUGGUGUAGUGUGAGAUGAUUACAAAUGAAGGGGGAGAUCUCUAUUUAUAGUUGAGCUCCCCUAGAUCCAAUAGUAUAGAUUGAAUUACAUCAACGAUUGAGAUUAGUACUUAUCUACAAGAUGAGUCUUAAGGGUUUUAAACUCUAUACAUCUUUAUCCCUUAGGAUUUACAUUAAUUACUCUGGUAACUCUAGUUUUACUGGAGAGUUUCACUGAACCACCAAAGGUUUAAGUAGAUGAGCUUCUCCAUAUGUUCCACGAGUUGGACAAGUUCAAGCGGAUCAAAUGAGCCCAAUUUAAUUAGUUAAUCUCAAUAAAACGUUCUAUGCGCAAUGAUCAUGAACUUUGAUCUACAUCUCAAAAUGAUCAGAUGAAUAAUCUCUCUUAAUUAUAUUUUUAUAAAACUUGAUAUUUUCAUUUAAAAAGAAACACAAUCACAUAUAAUAAUGUCUCCAAAAGAGUCGUCCACUUCAAAGAUUUAAAGUAAUGUAAGAAUGAACCCAACAUUUUUCAAUUAAAAAUAUGUCGAUAGAUAUAGCAAGUUGUAUAACCUUUCAAUUACAAAACAGAUUUCAAUGGGGAUUGCAUCCGGUACAUGCAACUAAAGAACAGAACCGGUGCAUAAAUUGAUUUAAUUAAACUUUGGGUUGAGUAAUCAUGAUUUUCAUUAUUAUUAGACUACGUGAAUGUUGAUAUAAAAUGCUUGAGAGAAGGGUAUAGAAGAAACACAAAAUAAUGAGUGAUAUUAAUUUGUAGAUAAAGAUAAUAUUACAUAGUCGCAAAAAGCGACCUAGUACACAACGCACAACUCUAAAUUAGGAUAACUCCUCUGCUAUCCCUAUGGAUGGAUUUUAACAUCCAUAUUUAUUCUGUAGCUAUCGUUAUUUUGGCUUCCACUAGCUGGUGAACUUUCCAUGCCAAAACUUCACUUAACCCUGC
Molecule: long non-coding RNA, 32979 nt
Filed under: Gossypium raimondii (Peruvian cotton)
Lineage: Eukaryota; Viridiplantae; Streptophyta; Magnoliopsida; Malvales; Malvaceae
Description: long non-coding RNA (GRAI_LNC009057)
Source: RNAcentral